This 153-nucleotide ribosomal RNA is filed under the name Beauveria bassiana. Its description in RNAcentral is "5.8S ribosomal RNA". It matches the Rfam family "5.8S ribosomal RNA". Rfam says of the family: 5.8S ribosomal RNA (5.8S rRNA) is a component of the large subunit of the eukaryotic ribosome. It is transcribed by RNA polymerase I as part of the 45S precursor that also contains 18S and 28S rRNA. Lineage: Eukaryota; Fungi; Ascomycota; Sordariomycetes; Hypocreales; Cordycipitaceae. The record is from RNAcentral.
UAAAACUUUCAACAACGGAUCUCUUGGCUCUGGCAUCGAUGAAGAACGCAGCGAAAUGCGAUAAGUAAUGUGAAUUGCAGAAUCCAGUGAAUCAUCGAAUCUUUGAACGCACAUUGCGCCCGCCAGCAUUCUGGCGGGCAUGCCUGUUCGAGC